Molecule: long non-coding RNA, 2301 nt
Filed under: Homo sapiens (human)
Lineage: Eukaryota; Metazoa; Chordata; Mammalia; Primates; Hominidae
Description: long intergenic non-protein coding RNA 2668
Source: RNAcentral
AGAAAAUGGUCUUCUGAGAGAUAGAGACUCACAAUCAUUGUUUUUAAGAAGAAGACAGGAAAGAGCAGCAGUGAGGUUCUGGGGCUAAGCAGAGAGCUUCUCAGUGCUGGGGCACGGCACGUUGCUCAGAUCAGCUUUCCCGGUGAGAGUAACAGAACGCGGAAGGAACUCUAAGAAGCCUAUUUAAAAAUGACUGACUAGCGGAUGUGAUAGAGAGCGAUUAUCAGGGUAGACCAUAAGCCUGUAACACAGAGGGGGUGGCCAAGCACAGCCCAGCUUUCGUCCCAAGGAUGCCAGCUAAACCAAGGAAAGGUGAACUGGAAUUUCAUGAUCUCUUAAAGUUUGGAGACAUGGGAAUGUGGGGGCUUCAACAGGAAGUCCUGCUCUCCUAAAGCCGGGAUCAGAAAAGGCCACACUCUCAGCAGAAGAGUAAAACCCCACCCUGAAACACAGGAUGGAUCCACGUGCUCCGGAUAAAAGGGAAGGUCGAAAAGCUAACAGAGUUCGGAUACAAAACAGAACAAAGACGAAACAAAAAGCUGCAGCCGAACCCUACCUGCUGCUCCAUGUUGAAAUCUGCCUCCUCAAGUCGGGAGCGAGACCAGAAGGAACACCCGAGACUCCGACAUCAGCGUCAGCUGCAGGGGCUCCCGGAAGGACAAGCCUGUCCCUGGAUGCUCAUAAGCAGAGUGGCUACAGUGCAGCAAGGAAACCUUCCAGCAAACACUGCACUUGGCACAGCCGCAGGUCACGUCCCUGCCCACCAGGACCUCUCUGUGAUAAGGGCCAACGAUGUUUCCAUUCCUGUUCAUGAAAUCACUUGGCGAUGAGUGAAAUCUGUGUGCGUUGUAACAACAAAUGACUGCAACAGAAAAUCACCAGAUUUCCAUCAUAACUCAAAUGCCAGCCAGGCUUGGUGGAUGGGCUCCUCGCUGAAAUCUCCAUAGCUGCAUAAUCAUUAGCAGUGAGAACAGUCACCUACACGUGAAAGAAUGACUAGAGGAAAACAAUUCACUCCACUUAAGCAAAGUGAUGCUCCCUUUGGCUAAUCUAAAUACCUUGGGGUUUUGCUAGGUCUUCUCCUUCCUCUCUUCUUCGAGUAGAUGAUGGAACUUUGAAAGCCAGCGUGGGAGAGCAUUACAUGGCUGGAUGAAAACUCUGCUGGGUUUACAGUGAGCUGGCUCAUUAUUCAGUGAAACCUCCAUCCUUAUUCAGCCUUGAAUAUUUAAAUCCAUACAGAUCGGAACUGUACUCCGGAGCCUGGGAACACCGUGCAAUGCGCUCUAAAUCCCUGCUUUCAUGCGCAUGAAAGACCCGUCAUUUUUACCCCUCCUACCAGCCUAAUUGACCGCAUUUCCGUGAACACUCGCUUGCUGGUUCCUAGCAAUGAAGACUGUGGGGUCCUUUCUUUCCAAGGUUGUGCUGGAAAGUGGAGAAGGUAAAGGGGAAAGCAACAGGCAGGCAAGGGGAAUCCGGGAGAAGGGACUCAUCUGCAGCAGUCAUGCCUCUCAUGGAAUCACAGGCCAGGCUAUGAGGAAGAAACGCGGGCUUUGCUCUCGGUCACCUAAUGACGCUUUGUCAUUUUUAAAGGGCAUUGCACUGUGAUUGCCAUGGAUACAUGAAAAGAUAAUGUGCUAUUUUUAGCAUGAAGCAUAAAAUAAAAUCCAAAGUUGGGCAAUAUGACCCUCACGCCUCCAGAGAGCCUCAUUAAAAUGAGAUGUUUCCCUUCAGAGGUGAACUCAGUAAGUAACGUUUAAAUUUCUUAAUCAGGCCACACAGAGUUCCCAAAUAAAAAAUAGUUCUGAAAACAAAUCCUUCUGUCAGAGCCCGGGGCUUGCACCAUGGCAGCAAAAUCCUUCUGACUUAAAGUGGAGGGAGGAGGUGGUCUCUGAAUGAAAGACAUUUCAAAUUUUCAGUGUUCUAAUUGAGGAAUAAAAUGGUAUAUAUUCAGCUAGAAAGUAACCAUUGGAUCAAAUUAUACAGUCUUUUGAGUAAGCCAAUGUCAGCUUAAUAAUAUUUUAGCAUAUAAUAAAGUCGUGUGUAUCAAUUCUCAUUUUGAACCCAGGUUGAAUGUUACUGCUUCAAACAGUAAAUAAAAACUGAGAUUCUGAGAAUAAGGCCAGCUUUGAAUUAGUCAAAAUUGUUUUUAUUACUAGCAAACAGGCAAACCUGUGAUAAAACAGCAUUCAUUUUCCCCAUGCUAUUUCAAUAUCCUAUGUAAUUUUUCACUGUUGAAAGCACUCCCAGAGUACCCUCAUGAAUAAUCCCUGAAACCCCAAAUAAAUAAAAACCGUUCUCUGA